This 352-nucleotide unclassified non-coding RNA is filed under the name soil metagenome. Its description in RNAcentral is "partial contains 5.8S ribosomal RNA, internal transcribed spacer 2, and large subunit ribosomal RNA". The stretch from base 1 to 120 matches the Rfam family "5.8S ribosomal RNA", at positions 35 to 154 of the family's 154-position model. The record is from RNAcentral.
GAUGAAGAACGUAGCGAAAUGCGAUAAGUAAUGUGAAUUGCAGAAUUCAGUGAAUCAUCGAAUCUUUGAACGCACAUUGCGCCCGCCAGUAUUCUGGCGGGCAUGCCUGUUCGAGCGUCAUUACAACCCUCAGGCCCCCGGGCCUGGCGUUGGGGAUCGGCGGAGCCCCCCGUGGGCACACGCCGUCCCCCAAAUGCAGUGGCGGUCCCGCCGCAGCUUCCAUCGCGUAGUAGCUAACACCUCGCGACUGGAGAGCGGCGCGGCCACGCCGUAAAACACCCAACUCUUCUGAAGUUGACCUCGGAUCAGGUAGGAAUACCCGCUGAACUUACGCAUAUCAAUAAGCGGAGGA